Bubalus bubalis (water buffalo) is the source of this 1280-nucleotide long non-coding RNA. RefSeq lists it as uncharacterized. The transcript has 4 exons. The record is from RefSeq and is a predicted model, not a curated record. Lineage: Eukaryota; Metazoa; Chordata; Mammalia; Artiodactyla; Bovidae.
CAAGCUGUAGGUGGGUUUUGCUGCCAGGAAGACGCCAGAGGCCGAUUUUCAUCUAGAAACAAAGGCAUUUGGGGGGAUUGUCUCCAUGCCUGGCCAAGUUUUUCACAGCACGCAGGCAUUAACCGAAGAAACAGAACUUGCCAAAACAGUACUUAAGCCCAGGACUCAGUCUCUCAACUCUGAAGGACUGCUUCAAAGAGAAACCAAGAGUUUUUGCAACAAAGACCAGGGAUCAAGCCUCUGGUCAAAGGACAAGAAAGUGUCUUCAAGCUUCUGUGGACAACUAGGGGCCUUGUGCCCUGCCUAGUGGAGAAUGCUGUCGACCACAUGGAGGAUCAAGCUGGGUGAAAGAGCAGCAAGGACUCCCCUACCUCACAGGACAGAAUGAGGAAGACAGAGAAGUCAUUAGUGGAACCACUGAGGUCAGGUCGCAGGUUCCGGCACCACCGCUGGGGAGACUGGGUGAUGACAGCUGGAGAGGGAAGCAGGAGAAAGCAAGCUGCCCUGGGCUGAACACACCUGUGCCCAGGAUGGCGUGUCAGGCACCGAACACGAAAUUCCCCUGGAGGCUGCUGCCACUGCUCUCAUUUGCCAAAGCUAAGUAAGAAUGACACAACAAAUAUAGGAAAAGUAAAGAGAAACAAAGUGCUCAAGUGCAGAUGAGUAUGAAGAACAAAAUUUUUCCUCUUCAUUAUUAAAAUCCGAGAGAGUAGCACAUGUGCCAUAUUUUCUAGGGAGCUUUGUAAAACAAAAAGCUAGUGGUUCUCCUGAGCCGAGGAGAGAAACUGGGGCCUGCAUCUCACUGGAAAAUAGAUCUGUUUGAAGUAAGAGUCACAGUGGAAGAGCUGAGGAAUAUGUCUUGACUGAUAGUGGCUAUAUUUCUCACCUUCUUUCUAAUGUGCUCUUGCUCUUUAGAAUUUAUUUUACUAUAAUGGAAAAAUUACCAAAUGGUUCUCCAGCUCUUUCAGAAAAGCUGAGUAAUAAACAGGAGGUAUAAGAGUAAAUAGUGAAAAAAAAAAAGGAGUAAAUAGUGUACAAGAUGAGACUCCCCAUCCUUAAUAAUGAUGGCUGAAUAGAGGGAAGAGAGUAAUUUGCAACAGUUAACCCCCUCUCCUAUACAUGAUAGUAUAUCUGGCAGCCUGCUCUGACAUUCCCUCUGCUCCCUAACUACUGCAACACCCUCCUAAUUGCCCUCCCAGUUUCUUACUUUUUUCUUUUCCUUCUUUUUUGUUUUUAGUAUAUUGGCUGUGCUGCAUGAUACGUGAGAAAGCUUCCCAGGU